UGCAAGCCUUUGGCUUCAUCACUUCUGCUUCUGUUGUGCUCUCUCUUGCCUCUCCAACUACACAUGGGAUCAGACAGCUGCCUGCCAGCAGUUGUACUUAACACCGCAUCUGAAAACUCUUUGCACCCUUAAUUGUUCUUAAUUUUUUAACACACUGAGUGAUUACUAAAACUAAUUGGGCAGAUUUAAAGCAGUAGCAAGAUGUACGGAAAUGGUAUAUACCUCUCCCCACCAGAUCUAAAUCCUUGUCAUAGCAAAAAUGUCCAAGGGAAUGCAUGUUUAAAUCAAGCCUGUCACUUAAAAAGGAGCAAUGUAAUGCUAAAAUGAUAAUUUCUUUAAGGUGAUGCUAGAUGAAGCUUACAGAUAAGAUGCUUAGCAGCAACGUAUCCCGAGUAGACCAAAUCUUCUAUACAGUCAUGAUCUCAAUAAUCCUAUCAAUGUCCUAUUAUAUUCAAACAUGUUUCAACAUCUUGAUCACCUUCAUUCUUUCCUGCCAACAUUCCCUGAAUCUCUUACACUGUAGUUAAAAAAACAGCUUAUCCUAAUAGUGCUGUUUUCUUCCACAUCUGCUUUGGAAACAUUUGCUUAAUAACAACGGGAAGAGUGCUGCCCUUUUCCAGAUGACCUGUUGGCCUGAACCAGUAUCUCAGCUAAUUUAAUCCACGAGGGUGGGGCUGUGUAACAAGGGCUGAUAGUUAUCUGUAAUGGGUUUGCUGAUUCUAGAUCAGCAGGUGAUAUAUCCUCAUAUCUUCUCCUCUCCUUUGGAUUUCCUACUGCAGUUGUUUUAAUGCUUCCUUUAUCAUAACUGGGGAAAAAAUUAUAACCUACAAUAGAGAUAUGUCGAUUUUACCCUAAACAGAACUUGCACCUCACUGAAUAGCUAAGGAUUUAUGCAAAAUUAGUUGCCCCUUUUAUUCCAUCCUGUCCUUGGUACAGGGUUCUAGGAACACACGGUUGUUUACGGAAAACAUACUAUCAUAGGAAAUAAACACAUAUCUUGUUCCAUGGCAGAUAAGCCUCACUGGGCACGUUUCCCAAAAAUCCACGGGUGCUUAUGAUGCAAAAGCUCGUCUGCAAGAGCUAAAAUUAAAUCCACCGUGAGGAAACGCCACUUUCAAAUCUGACCCAAUUUAUUCUCUGGGGGUGGAACCAGGAGGGUAAAGAAGAGAGAAAUAGCCUUCAUCAUUUGUAGCCACCACUUUAAUUAUGACCUCCUUCCCUUUGCGGGCACAAUUCUCUCUCCCCUCAUUCAGCUGAGAUUUUGAAAACAAAGUUAAGCUGCUUUUUAUGUCUAAGCAAUCUAAAGGCUUCUAGACACUGGAACAAAAUUACCUUGAGGGAUCCCUUCUCAGAUAGUUCUCUGCUGUUUUCUUUAGGGCUUCCUUUAAAAUGUGCUUCCCCUCCCAAAAGUAUUUCUGGAUGACAGGAAACAUAUCUGCAGGCACCAAAUUUCAUGGUGUUCUCUCUGUCACUGUAAACCUCUUGGUUUUCUGUAAUACAGGCUCAAAAGUGCCCUAAUUUCUUAAAUUUAGCAUGGCUGUGACACAAUAAUGGUAGAAAUCUUCAUGGCAACAGUGGAAGUGUAAUCAGAGACCCAGAGCUAGGGAAGAACACCAAACGCUGAAGCUCCAUUGUGAAGGCAAAGAAAUUAAGAUUAAUCAAUUUGUCUAGUGAAACUGGAAAAGCUCACUUUCCUCCCAUUUUCAAGAAACAUUAUUCAUUCUUCUUCUAUGUGGGCAGAGAACUUUGGACAUAUUCCAAAAUAUAUGGAGAAACAAAAUUUGUCAGGUUUACAAACAAAGGCGAGCCAAUGUUAUAGACAUCAUCAACAAGCAAUAACAGAUGAGCAACAGAUGUCAUGGUGCAGGGGACAAGGAACAUAAGCAGCCAAGAGACAUCUCUGGGCAUACCAGCCAAUCACCACUAGUUUAGAUCUCCAGGCUGCACAACUCCGUGGCUCAAGAGAAAAUGGAAUAGUGGAAGAAUGCUACUAAUGAGGAUGUUGAUCUACUAAGCAUACUGCGUGUUAUCUCUAUUACUCAUGCCUGCCCUAUCAACUACUGGACUGAGCUAAAUAUAUGUUCACCCAAUGAUCAACAGUGAACUUGAAGAACUGAUAACUCUACAAUGAAACUCCAGGUGGAUAUGCCCAGCUCUUUCCAGGUUAACCUUUGUGAAGUGUGAAAUGUAGCAGCAGGGAAUACGAGUAAGCUUUUAAGAGACAUAUCCCUUUGAUGUCUUCUUUUUCUGUUUCUGCAGGGAUCAAUUCUUUAUGUUCCUGGGCAAAACGGGCGAAGGUAGCUAAAUAAAUAAUCCUCCUUAGACAUAGAGACUCUCCCUCCCUCCAAAGAGGCUACCAAGUCAUCAUUUAUAGGAAGUUAGCUAUAAUAGCAGCUUGUUCCUUCUAACAGAGAUAUUGCUGUUUCUCUCCUUUGCACUUGCAUGGCUAUCAAUCGUAAUAGUGAAUGGUCACAUUUUCCACUUAUAGGUCUAUGAGUCUGAAAUACUUUUGCAUGUAUCAAAACACACCCGCUUUCAGAAUCAAAGAUUUAUCCAAAGACAAAACAGAGAUAAAGUCUCUAAGUGAUACAGUACAUGGUACAGAAAGAACUCCAGCAAGAUUGGAUUGUUUUAGAAAUGGAUGUGGGAGGCACAGGAAAGAUAAAUAUAUAGAACUGCAAGUCAGUUUCAUUUUAAGCAAACAUACGUUGUUUUCCAAGCCAGGAGUUGCAAAAGCAUUGAGUGGUCCAUGCAUAUUUUGCCAUAUAAAGGAGGAAUUAAUGUGGCGUUCCUCAAAGAAUUGGACUUGAUGGCCUUAAAAGUUCUAUGCUUCUUUGAUUCCACACAGCCCCAAUUCCCAUUCACACCGCAAAAUAAAGUAUAAUGAUCAACCAAUAAAGGGAUUGACAUCUUACGGCUUUGAAAGUCUGUCACAAUCACUUCCCAAGGCCCAAGCAAGAAGUAUAGAGCCACAGAUACUAGAUCAGGAUGUCUAAGUUAAAUUUUAAAAGCUCUAGCAUGUCAGUUAUUCACACAGUGGAAGUAAACAAACAUAUCUUUCAACAGAAAUAGCUAAAGGACUUUACACAUAUGUUUCCCAUCAGAAACACUUUUACUCUCUGUAUUUUCUCCUAUUCCAUGGCUUGGCCAAAGUUGCAUAACUUUUGCUCUUACCUUUAAAAAAGGAUGUUUUAUGUGCAAGAAUUCCUGGCAAUGCCCCUUCCUUAGACCUGGUAAAUUAAUUAAUAGUGUAAAUAUUUGCACUAGAAUUUAGAGCAGUGAGUAGUCUGCACUUCUGGAUGCAAAUUAUGAAUCAGAAAUUAUUGGCAUCAAAUAUAUCAGUUAAACUAAAGAGAGCAGCUGUUCCAGAUGUAAACGUAGAGGACAUACAGUUAUGAUAACGGAUUGAUACAAGGAACAGAUUCAAUAGCCUCUUAUGCAAAAGAAAAUCAGAGCUAUGGGAAUACAUAAAAGACACUGUGAAGGCUGAAGCAGAUACAAAUAUUCCCAAAGUUUCAAAGUCAAAAAGAUCCAAGUGGCUUUUAGAACAAGCUAUCAUGAUAGCAAAGAAAAAUGGAAAAUAAAAGCAUCAGUUGUUCCAAAGUCAUGCAAGAAAGGACAAGGAACUACAAUGUCAACAAGUAGGUGAUA
This is a long non-coding RNA of Crotalus tigris (Tiger rattlesnake), 3651 nucleotides long. RefSeq lists it as uncharacterized. NCBI's taxonomy places the organism in Eukaryota, Metazoa, Chordata, Lepidosauria, Squamata, Viperidae. The transcript has 4 exons. The record is from RefSeq and is a predicted model, not a curated record.